ACAUUUUUUGGGUAAAAACUAAUGCAAGACUGUGUGAAGGUCAGAGAAUGAUUAACGUUGAGAGAAACAUGCAAUAUAAACAGGCUGGGUAAUGUAAGCAUUUUAGAAGUAAAGUGUUGCAAGAAUUAUGGACCACUGGCAGCAAGAAUAUUGGCACGGUCCUACUUAGUGCAGGGAACUACAUGCAGAGUAUACCUCUGGGGUUUGUCAGGAUAUAGAAGAUUCUGCUUUCCCCGUAGGGCUAACGUUUAAACUCAGAGGGGGGUUGACAGAGGUGGUCAUUGCAUUUAGUGGGUUAUCAACUGGAUUUCUCACAUGUCGGCACCUAAACUACUAGCAAGCAGUCUACAGUCAGCCAAUGCCUUGUCUUGGCAGGGUGUCCACAGGAA
Molecule: non-coding RNA, 389 nt
Organism: Pelobates cultripes (western spadefoot toad)
Lineage: Eukaryota; Metazoa; Chordata; Amphibia; Anura; Pelobatidae
Source: the annotation of a GenBank genome assembly